This 333-nucleotide ribosomal RNA is filed under the name uncultured bacterium. Its description in RNAcentral is "bacterial SSU rRNA". It matches the Rfam family "Bacterial small subunit ribosomal RNA", at positions 568 to 898 of the family's 1533-position model. The record is from RNAcentral.
CGUGUAGGCGGCCUUGCAAGUUGGGUGUGAAAGCCCUCGGCUUAACCGAGGAAGUGCGCCCAAAACUACAAGGCUUGAGUGCCGGAGAGGGUGGCGGAAUUCCCGGUGUAGAGGUGAAAUUCGUAGAUAUCGGGAGGAACACCAGUGGCGAAGGCGGCCACCUGGACGGUAACUGACGCUGAGACGCGAAAGCGUGGGGAGCAAACAGGAUUAGAUACCCUGGUAGUCCACGCUGUAAACGAUGAGCGCUAGGUGUUGUGGGUGUUGACCCCCGCAGUGCCGCAGCUAACGCAUUAAGCGCUCCGCCGUGGGAAGUACGGCCGCAAGGCUAAA